AGUGAACGCUGGCGGUAGGCCUAACACAUGCAAGUCGAACGGCAGCACAGUAAGAGCUUGCUCUUACGGGUGGCGAGUGGCGGACGGGUGAGGAAUACAUCGGAAUCUACUUUUUCGUGGGGGAUAACGUAGGGAAACUUACGCUAAUACCGCAUACGACCUACGGGUGAAAGCAGGGGAUCUUCGGACCUUGCGCGAUUGAAUGAGCCGAUGUCGGAUUAGCUAGUUGGCGGGGUAAAGGCCCACCAAGGCGACGAUCCGGAGCUGGUCUGAGAGGAUGAUCAGCCACACUGGAACGGAGACACGGUCCAGACUCCUAAGGGAGGCAGCAGUGGGGAAUAUUGGACAGUGGGCGCAAGCCUGAUCCAGCCAUACCGCGUGGGUGAAGAAGGCCUUCGGGUUGUAAAGCCCUUUUGUUGGGAAAGAAAAGCAGCAGGUUAAUACCCCGCUGUUCUGACGGUACCCAAAGAAUAAGCACCGGCUAACUUCGUG
RNAcentral lists this ribosomal RNA (492 nucleotides) under uncultured bacterium. RNAcentral's name for it is "partial 16S ribosomal RNA". It matches the Rfam family "Bacterial small subunit ribosomal RNA", at positions 29 to 507 of the family's 1533-position model. The record is from RNAcentral.